CCUACGGGUGGCAGCAGUAGGGAAUCUUCCACAAUGGGCGAAAGCCUGAUGCAGCAACGCCGCGUGGGUGAAGAAGGUCUUCGGAUCGUAAAACCCUGUUGUUAGAGAAGAAAGUGCGUGAGAGUAACUGUUCACGUUUCGACGGUAUCUAACCAGAAAGCCACGGCUAACUACGUGCCAGCAGCCUCGGGAAAGCGUAUGUGGCAAGCGUUAUCCGGAUUUAUUGGGCGUAAAGGGAACGAAGGCGGCAUUGUAAGUCUGCUGUGAAAGCCGUGGGCUUAACCGGAGUAGUGCAUUGGAAACUGGGAGGCUUGAGUGCAGAAGAGGAGAGUGGAACUCCAAGUGUAGCGGUGAAAUGCGUAGAUAUAUGGAGGAACACCAGGGGCGAAGGCGGCUCUCUGGUCUGUAACUGACGCUGAGGUUCGAAAGCGUGGGUAGCAAACAGGAUUAGAUACCCCGGUAGUC
This 465-nucleotide ribosomal RNA is filed under the name uncultured bacterium. RNAcentral describes it as "partial 16S ribosomal RNA". It matches the Rfam family "Bacterial small subunit ribosomal RNA", at positions 338 to 795 of the family's 1533-position model. The record is from RNAcentral.